Molecule: ribosomal RNA, 492 nt
Filed under: uncultured bacterium
Lineage: Bacteria
Description: partial 16S ribosomal RNA
Rfam family: Bacterial small subunit ribosomal RNA
Source: RNAcentral
GACGAACGCUGGCGGCGCGCUUAACACAUGCAAGUCGAACGGUAAGGCCCUUCGGGGUACACGAGUGGCGAACGGGUGAGUAACACGUGGGUGAUCUGCCCUGCACUUUGGGAUAAGCCUGGGAAACUGGGUCUAAUACCGGAUAGGACCACGGCCUGCAUGGAUUGUGGUGGAAAGCUUUUGCGGUGUGGGAUGGGCCCGCGGCCUAUCAGCUUGUUGGUGGGGUGAUGGCCUACCAAGGCGACGACGGGUAGCCGGCCUGCGAGGGUGUCCGGCCACACUGGGACUGAGAUACGGCCCAGACUCCUACGGGAGGCAGAAGUGGGGAAUCUUGCACAAUGGGCGCAAGGCUGGUGCAGCGACGCCGCGUGGGGGAUGACGGCCUUCGGGUUGUAAACCUCUUUCGGUAUCGGCGAAGCUCCCGGGUUUUCUUGGGGGUGACGGUAGGUACAGAAGAAGCACCGGCCAACUACGUGCCAGCAGCCGCCGUAA